Neofelis nebulosa (Clouded leopard) is the source of this 733-nucleotide long non-coding RNA. RefSeq lists it as uncharacterized. The record is from RefSeq and is a predicted model, not a curated record. The transcript has 3 exons. NCBI's taxonomy places the organism in Eukaryota, Metazoa, Chordata, Mammalia, Carnivora, Felidae.
UAAGGUUACAGGUGCCCUGAGGUUCAGGUAUGUCAGCAUGUGCUGCUAGAGAUACUCACUCCACUGACAUGCAUCCUCAUCACAAUGACACAGGAACCCCACUGGUAGCAACCGCACAAGCCCUGCCCAUAAUAAAGGCUCAGGCUUAUAUAUACACAUAUGUAAUGGCUUUGGGGAAUUAACCAAAAGAAUCCCAACUUUCAGGAAGGAACAGUGCACCUCAGAAUGGGUACUACCAGGAAAUGCCCAGGCAUCCUGGGGAAGAGGGAGCUCAAAGAACCCUACCUUGAGACAUCCUACAUAAAAACAAUCUCCCCUGGACCUGAGAAGGCAGGCAGAAAGAACUACGUGCAAAGAAAAUACAAGCCAGAUAGCCCGGGGGUAAUUCAGCCUGGUGGAUACAGGAAGUCUCCACCAUACACUGAAUAACAAAUAGAAAUGUAGAUACAUUUCUCUGAGAAGAACAUACUCAGCCUAACUCCAAACACCCUGUAUCUUCCCAGGAAAAUGGCUUUUGAUUUUUACUCAAGAGAAAGUUGUUAAUGCUGAUGAAGAGACAGAGCAAGUUCACAAUCUGCUGUUAAGGAAAAAAAAUAAAUAAAUACAUGGAUGGAAUGCCUGUCAACUAAAAUAGCUGUCAGAAACAUAACAGAAACCAAGAAAGGAAGAUGGUUGCUUUAGAUUAUAAUUCAGAACCUGAACGCAAGUUCUUUUAGUAGCACCAAUGACUAGU